RNAcentral lists this ribosomal RNA (180 nucleotides) under uncultured Thermomonas sp. Its description in RNAcentral is "partial 16S ribosomal RNA". It matches the Rfam family "Bacterial small subunit ribosomal RNA", at positions 335 to 507 of the family's 1533-position model. Lineage: Bacteria; Pseudomonadati; Pseudomonadota; Gammaproteobacteria; Lysobacterales; Lysobacteraceae. The record is from RNAcentral.
ACUCCUACGGGAGGCAGCAGUAGGGAAUAUUGGACAAUGGGCGCAAGCCUGAUCCAGCCAUGCCGCGUGAGUGAAGAAGGCCCUCGGGUUGUAAAGCUCUUUUGUCCGGAAAGAAAAGCAUCGGGUUAAUACCCCGGUGUUCUGACGGUACCGGAAGAAUAAGCACCGGCUAACUUCGUG